ACGGAGGGUGCAAGCGUUGUCCGGAUUUAUUGGGUUUAAAGGGUGCGUAGGCGGCUAAUUAAGUCAGCGGUGAAAGUUUUGGGCUUAACCCAGAAAUUGCCAUUGAUACUGGUUAGCUUGAGUAUUGGAGGGGUACAUGGAAUUGAUGGUGUAGCGGUGAAAUGCAUAGAUACCAUCAGGAACACCGAUAGCGAAGGCAUUGUACUGGCCAAUAACUGACGCUGAUGCACGAAAGCAUGGGUAGCGAACAGG
RNAcentral lists this ribosomal RNA (252 nucleotides) under uncultured bacterium. RNAcentral describes it as "partial 16S ribosomal RNA". It matches the Rfam family "Bacterial small subunit ribosomal RNA", at positions 525 to 776 of the family's 1533-position model. The record is from RNAcentral.